CGCCUGGGGAGUACGGCCGCAAGGUUAAAACUCAAAUGAAUUGACGGGGGCCCGCACAAGCGGUGGAGCAUGUGGUUUAAUUCGACGCAACGCGAAGAACCUUACCUGGCCUUGACAUCCAGAGAGCUUUCCAGAGAUGGAUUGGUGCCUUCGGGAACUCUGAGACAGGUGCUGCAUGGCCGUCGUCAGCUCGUGUCGUGAGAUGUUGGGUUAAGUCCCGUAACGAGCGCAACCCCUAUCCCUGGUUGCUAGCAGGUAAUGCUGAGAACUCCAGGGAGACUGCCGGUGACAAACCGGAGGAAGGUGGGGAUGACGUCAGGUCAUCAUGGCCCUUACGGCCAGGGCUACACACGUGCUACAAUGGCGCGUACAGAGGGCUGCCAACUCGCGAGAGUGAGCCAAUCCCUUAAAACGCGUCGUAGUCCGGAUCGGAGUCUGCAACUCGACUCCGUGAAGUCGGAAUCGCUAGUAAUCGCGAAUCAGAAUGUCGUGGUGAAUACGUUCCCGGGCCUUGUACACACCGCCCGUCACACCAUGGGAGUGGAUUGCACCAGAAGUAGUUAGUCUAACCUUCGGGAGGACGAUUACCACGGUGUGGUUCAUGACUGGGGUGAAGUCGUAACAAGGUAACCGUA
RNAcentral lists this ribosomal RNA (635 nucleotides) under uncultured Marinobacter sp. RNAcentral describes it as "bacterial SSU rRNA". It matches the Rfam family "Bacterial small subunit ribosomal RNA", at positions 870 to 1504 of the family's 1533-position model. Lineage: Bacteria; Pseudomonadati; Pseudomonadota; Gammaproteobacteria; Pseudomonadales; Marinobacteraceae. The record is from RNAcentral.